RNAcentral lists this ribosomal RNA (208 nucleotides) under Bacillus nitratireducens. RNAcentral's name for it is "16S rRNA. Bacterial SSU". It matches the Rfam family "Bacterial small subunit ribosomal RNA", at positions 1 to 201 of the family's 1533-position model. Lineage: Bacteria; Bacillati; Bacillota; Bacilli; Caryophanales; Bacillaceae. The record is from RNAcentral.
CUUUAUUGGAGAGUUUGAUCCUGGCUCAGGAUGAACGCUGGCGGCGUGCCUAAUACAUGCAAGUCGAGCGAAUGGAUUGAGAGCUUGCUCUCAAGAAGUUAGCGGCGGACGGGUGAGUAACACGUGGGUAACCUGCCCAUAAGACUGGGAUAACUCCGGGAAACCGGGGCUAAUACCGGAUAACAUUUUGAACUGCAUGGUUCGAAAU